UUAUAAGAGACAGCAGCAGCCGCGGGAAAACGGAGGGUGCAAGCGUUAAUCGGAAUUACUGGGCGUAAAGCGCACGCAGGCGGUCUGACAAGUCAGAUGUGAAAUCCCCGGGCUUAACCUGGGAACUGCAUUUGAAACUGUCAGGCUGGAGUCUUGUAGAGGGGGGUGGAAUUCCAGGUGUAGCGGUGAAAUGCGUAGAGAUCUGGAGGAAUACCGGUGGCGAAGGCGGCCCCCUGGACAAAGACUGACGCUCAGGUGCGAAAGCGUGGGGAGCAAACAGGAUUAGAUACCCCGGUAGUCCCUGUCUCUUAUAC
This 314-nucleotide ribosomal RNA is filed under the name uncultured bacterium. Its description in RNAcentral is "partial 16S ribosomal RNA". It matches the Rfam family "Bacterial small subunit ribosomal RNA", at positions 499 to 807 of the family's 1533-position model. The record is from RNAcentral.